This 1720-nucleotide long non-coding RNA is filed under the name Gossypium barbadense (sea-island cotton). RNAcentral describes it as "long non-coding RNA (GBAR_LNC014539)". Lineage: Eukaryota; Viridiplantae; Streptophyta; Magnoliopsida; Malvales; Malvaceae. The record is from RNAcentral.
ACAAGGAGACCAGUUCACAUAAGUUUGAUGAAGAGUCUGAGUCAAGGAGUUAAGGAGAGGAGAGAAAGAUCGUGUGUUAAAUGAUAUACUUAAGGCUGCUGAAGGAAGGGAAAAGAUCCCUCCAUCAUCGCGCCUUGAAGUAUUUAUAGUGGGAAAGUGAUAUACUUAAGUCUCCAAGUGAGGGCCUGCUUUAACAUUUCUUUUGUUGAGAUAGCACGAUGUUGUUAUGCCUCAAUGGUCAUUUAGUGGUCCCCUCUUAGUGGUAAAUGUAUACUCGCUAAUAGUGAGUGGUUGUAAGUGUACACCCACUAAUAGUGGGUGUCCCAAGAUGAUUAGCCUUAUGAAAGGUUCAAGGCAUACGGGUGGUUGGCCUGCAAGGCGGAAGGUCGUCUAUGAGUGCUUCUCAGAUUGUUUCUUGUGUGUUAGAGCAUAUGGUCUGUUAGCUUGUUACUAAUUUGUUAUCUAAAUUGGUAUAUUGUUAGUAUUAUGGUUAGCAGCAGUUAAGCAUACAUAAGUAUAUAAACUCUUUCCCAGUACCUAUCCAAAAAAGAAUGAAAUACUAGUAUUGUUUAGUAAAUUCAGUUUCUCUCUUAAUUGUUUUUGUUAUUCAUUUCAAUAGAGUUACUAACAUGGUAUCAGUCGCCUGAUUUCCUAGAACCUUACCUUCUCUCUUUGCCGAUCCAUGGAAAAUUCCACCAACUCUACUUCUGCUGCCUCCUUCUCUAGCUCUCGUUUGAUUCAAUCAUUUCCUUGCCAUAAUACAGUAAAGUUAGAUGACGGCAAUCUUGUGCAAUGACAGCAACAUGUACAAUUGAUCAUUGAAGGUUAUGAAUUGCAAGGUUUUUUAGGGGGUACGUUACCUGUUCCACCUCACUUUGUGGCUUUUCCAGAUGGAGUUUUAACUCCGAAUCCUGAUGCGUCUCUCUUUAUUCAACAAGAUAAGUUACUUGCCUCUUGGCUUCUCUCUACGAUUAGUGCCUCGUUACUGUCUUGUUUUAAAAUUGCCAAAACAACUUAUAAAGUAUGGAGCACUACGAAUCGGCUCUUUGCUGUUGCCACUGGUACUAAACUGUCUCGAAUUAAGCAUGACCUACACUCUAUCAAGAAAGGAACAUUAACUGUCAAAGAAUAUAUUCCAAUAUCCAAAAUACCAGUGCUUUACUUGAGGCAUCUGGAUCUUUCGUUUCAGAGGCUGAGAAGGUGGAGGUUAUUCUUGUCGAUCUCUCGUCAGAUUUUGAUGCAGUGUUAACGCUGGCGUCUUUCGCCUCUGAGACACUUCCAUUUCAAAAGAUCGUCGAUGUUUUCUUAGAGUUCGAGAGUCGUUAGACUCGUGCAGUGCAUGAUGCUCCGUUUCAUGCCAACAUGGUUGAGGUCCCUUCGAGUAUGAUGAUGGCAGAUUCUGUUCGUGGAGACGGUCGGUCUUUCUCUAAUUCUUAUGGGCGUAGCUUUCGACCACGGAUUGAAUGUCAGAUCUGCAGUUAUUAUGGUCUUCUGGCACAACGUUGCUUCUAUCGCUACAACCGUGACUAUGACAAUCUGUCGCCUUCGACCAUGGCAAGUCACUUCUAUACUCAACAUGGACGAGAUUCUCGUGGGAAUAUGUUUGCUCGAUCUAAUGAUUUUGGUGGGUCUAGGUAGUAUGUUGGUCUGUGGGGGCAGUACCGGCGUCGUUUUCUAGUGGUUCCUCGAGGGAAGGGUGGCCACCGUUGUAAAAUUUUGC